CCUACGGGUGGCAGCAGUGAGGAAUAUUGGUCAAUGGACGAGAGUCUGAACCAGCCAAGUAGCGUGAAGGAUGACGGUCCUCUGGAUUGUAAACCUCUUUAGGCGGGGAGCAAUGCCGGGCGCGCGUGCCCGGAGGGAGAGUACCCGCAGAAUAAGCAUCGGCUAACUCCGUGCCAGCAGCCGCGGUAAUACGGAGGAUGCGAGCGUUAUCCGGAGUUAUUGGGUUUAAAGGGUGCGUAGGCGGAUUUUUAAGUCAGCGGUAAAAUGUCCGGGCUCAACCCGGGCCGGCCGUUGAAACUGUGGAUCUUGAGUGGGCGAGAAGUAUGCGGAAUGCGUGGUGUAGCGGUGAAAUGCAUAGAUAUCACGCAGAACUCCGAUUGCGAAGGCAGCAUACCGGCGCCCGACUGACGCUGAGGCACGAAAGCGUGGGGAUCGAACAGGAUUAGAUACCCUUGUAGUC
This 460-nucleotide ribosomal RNA is filed under the name uncultured bacterium. RNAcentral's name for it is "partial 16S ribosomal RNA". It matches the Rfam family "Bacterial small subunit ribosomal RNA", at positions 338 to 795 of the family's 1533-position model. The record is from RNAcentral.